Cololabis saira (Pacific saury) is the source of this 1429-nucleotide long non-coding RNA. RefSeq lists it as uncharacterized. NCBI's taxonomy places the organism in Eukaryota, Metazoa, Chordata, Actinopteri, Beloniformes, Belonidae. The transcript has 3 exons. The record is from RefSeq and is a predicted model, not a curated record.
GGGCUCCGCUGUUGCGCUAUGGAAAAUCGUUAGGGGAUACACUGUAUCAAACGUGCUCGCACAGAUUCUUAAUAGCCACAAUAAGGCUGAAAGGGGAAUCAAGUGGACUCACCAUUAAAGGAAGGCCGACUCUGAGUGACGCCGGCCGGGAAAAUCACCGACGCUUCUUCAGCCCAGGAGGAAAAAAACAGGUUUUGGAUAAACACUGUUUAAAGGGGAAUGUAAACAACAAAAAAGUGGAAUCGGCAGGGAUGGCGUGUCAAGGAAGAGCCCGGAAUAGGAUGCUGCGCAAGAGAUGGAUAGUGCGUAAUGCUGCGUUCCAUUUACCUCGGAAGUCGGAACUCGGAACUGGGAAUGACGUCACAGCCGAGUUAUCAGCGUUCCAGUUACAAAGGCCUUGUUUUAUCAUCUUGCAGCACAACCAACCCCCAGCCCCCCUUGGACCAGGAGCAGGACUAGAUGCCCGAGGAAGACCCAGGAGAGGACACAGUAUCCUACUGUGCACCACAAAGAUGUCUGCAGGGAGACACAGAGCUCGGUUUUCCACUGUGUGAUCCAUGGACAGUUUAGUCUGGCUUGAUAUCUGGUGCCCGUCUGCUCCUGUUUUACUCGAACCCGAAAAGCUUAAUGUCUCUCCAGUUCAUUAGAUUUGCCGACCAUGACUCAGGAGUUGUUCUCGAUGGCCUCCCAUCCAACAUGGAGCCCGGAUCUUCCUGACUUGCUGGUUCUAUUUUUAGCUUGAACAAAGUUAAGAAUCCUAAUGCAUCAGCUCAAAUAUGUUCCUGGAAAGAGUGUCUCUUUAAUGCAGCCGCAACAAAAACAAAAAAAAGCUGCAGACACCAGUGUAUCUGCCAGCAAUGUUUGCCUGUUUUAUGCACUGAAGUUCAGGUCAUGCAGACAGUUUUAGGUUCAAUAUCUUCUAGAAAAACACCUCAGCCAUUACAAAGUCGAUCAGUGAUUACAUUAGACAGUUUUGCAAGACACUAUAAAAGUAUCUGCUUCAUGGAAAAUUGAAUUUGUACCAAUUUGAUUGUACACAAAUCAAAUCUACCACCUGACAGGCUGAGGGACUUUUAUUGAUUUUAUUAGGAUAAUCAAGUUGUUGUACUGAGCUCAACAUGUGAAUUGAUUUCAUCAUGAUCGGAAAGGGUAACAGUGAAUGUGGCGCAUUCUCAGAUUGGCUGAUUGUCCGUCUUCAUCAACAUUAUGCAAGGUAUUUGUUUUCCUUGUUUGUCUUCCAGAUGUGGACAUGGGUCAUCCUCCCCAGGGAACUGGUUUCAGAUGGUGUCUUAGAGUCUAAAACCCCAUCUAGCACCAUUUGAAAUCGGUGUUCUUGAGCGGGAACAGACGUCAGCCGUGACACCGAUUCAGCACUUUGAUGGCACUGUUUGCAUUUAUAUUUUUACAUACUGCACAUAUUAUAUAAUUA